UGCGGACGAACAUGGCGGUCACCUCCCAGUUCCGCCGCAACAGCUGUUCCCCUCUGGAGGUUCAAGAUCUCCACACUUUAUGGGCCGCGGUUUUCCGUCGGCCCUUUUUU
RNAcentral lists this small RNA (110 nucleotides) under Marchantia polymorpha subsp. ruderalis. RNAcentral's name for it is "Alphaproteobacterial ar15". It matches the Rfam family "Alphaproteobacterial ar15". Lineage: Eukaryota; Viridiplantae; Streptophyta; Marchantiopsida; Marchantiales; Marchantiaceae. The record is from Rfam by way of RNAcentral.